Molecule: non-coding RNA, 21 nt
Filed under: Arabidopsis thaliana (thale cress)
Lineage: Eukaryota; Viridiplantae; Streptophyta; Magnoliopsida; Brassicales; Brassicaceae
Source: RNAcentral
UGGAAAGGAUAAUGUACACGC